GUGACGUCUGAGGUGAGGUCACAAUAGGCAUUACUAUUUCUGCCUUGUUCUUUUGGAUGGCUUCGUCUGGAGGAAGCCAGGGGUCUUGCCAUGAAGGACAUUCAAGCAGUUCUGAGGAGAGGCCCAAGUGAAGAGGAACCAGUUGCCAGCACCACCCUGUCAGCUAUGUUAGGCCCCUGCCUAUAUAAACAAUUUGAUUAAAAACAUAUGUUUAAAAAUUCAUCAGUACAUGGGAGAUAUGAUGAUUUAUCAUUGAAGAUUUAGGAUGAUGGGCAGAGAAAGGCAAUCUGUUUUGUCUAUUGUCCAAUCAGUGCAUGUGAAGAUUUGUUACAGUAUCCAGUUAACACUGAAUCACUAAGGCUUUAUCCAGGAAUAGUACUCAAAGUGCUCAGAUGUUCCUUUAAAUUCAUUUACCUGGGUAACUGCUGAAAGAGAGGCGACUACUGCUGGUAUCUUUAUCUAUGAUGUUGAAGUCCCAGUGUUUAUAUAUCCUGAGCAUGGCUGCAUACGUGUACCAGCUUGAGUGAGCAAAAAGGAUGUUCUCAAAUCCAGGAAGAACCUACAGCCAGAAUCAUAGUGGAUUACACAGAUGUACAUAGCUAACUGACUGCAAUUGUCUUAAGUGUAAGAGGCAUACAGGGAUUGUGCCAUUUCAGGUAGAAGCUCCCUGGAACAACUGCUGGAAUAAGGUUCCAGAGUGGAAGGUGGAAGCUCCCUCUUGGGAUAAAGGAUCCACAGUGGAAAAAAAAAGUUGCCCUCUGCUGGAAAACAGAAUCUUUGUCCUCUGAGAAAAACAGUCUCCCUUCUUACGGAGGCCAGUGGAUUCCAUCCUAGAGGCUGUGUUGACCGUAUCUCCAAAUAGACAAUAACGAGGCAUCUUGAUUCCCACAACUCCAGCAGCACAGGGACCUGAAAUGAAGGACAGAAAGCAGGAAGUGGAGGCAAUAGAAAUUGCAGAGUAGAGUGAAGACAGGUGGCAUGUCUGGGAUUGGUGCCAUGACAAUGGAAGACAAAGACAAGACAAAGGCAUAACUUUCCGUAAGCAUUUCAUGGACCAGGCAAAUGCAGCUGGAUGGGGAAGCCUGUGGCACAAGGAGGUUCCAACAAGCAGAACAAAAGCCCAGGCUAGACUAUGCGCUGUGGCAUAUUAGGUAGGAAAUAAGGGUUAUUCAGUCAUGUAUUUGCAAAGAAUGACUGAGUGCAAGGUGUUAACAGUUUCAGAAGUUAAAGAUUAACUCAAAAACUGCAAAGCUGAGUUUUAAGCAAUGCCUGGCUAAAGAUUCAUCUAGAUGACUUCUGAGUUCCUCUCUUACUAUGUUUUUCUAUAACACACCUGUAACUCAUCUCAAAUCUUGAUGUUCAAGGCUGUUGAAUUAAACUAAGUUUGGCCUGAGGCUGCCUCUUAGGGGUCCCUACAAAACAAACUGCAACCUAGCUUGGUACAUAAACAAACUAAAAGCCUAACUAGGGUAUACUUACGUAAUAGAUAGCUGAGUCUCAGCCAAUCGCAGUAGCUGAGCUUCAGCCAGUCACAGGCUGUCAACUGAUGGGACCUUGACCAAAUCAGGGGAACACAGAGGUGUGACCAAUCAAGUUGUUUCUGUCCCUCACUUCUGUUUUCUGUCUAUAAACAUUGCCUGCCCACCUUGCCCAUUGAAGCUCUCUGAACCUCUUCUGGUUUUAAGGGCCAUCUGAUUUGAAAAUUAUUCUUUGCUCAGUCAAACUGUGUUAAGUUUAAUAUGCAUAAAGCUUUUCUUUUAACAAGGCUAUGUAACUUUCAUGGUCUUUGAAAGUGACUCAUGUACUUUCUGUAUAACUGCAGUGGCAGGGAAGGGAGGGGGUAUAAAUAUUAUAGAAAUUUCACCAUCUGUUCUUUAUUUCCCCUUGUAGAUAAUCUAAUCCACUUAAGACACUAUAAUAUUUUAGUGGGAAAAUAUAUUGAAGUUGGGGGUGGGGAGAAAGGGAAUGGGGAGGAAAUAAAUGAAAUCAUAGGUAUGGUGAUUUAAAUAGGAGUCCAAAGCUUCUUGUUUUUGUACAUGUUUGGUGUUUAUCAUGUCAGCAGUCAGUGGUGCCCUCAAAGGUCUUGUUCUUAGAGCUCUCUAUGAACUGGGUCUAAAUAUCUCAGGAUGCAUAGUGGGACCUCACAUUUGGCAAAAAGAAUUAAGAGUAAACAUUAUGUGAGGUCGAUCACACUUGAAGACCUUUUAUCCUUUCUGAUUUAGUUGGUGCACAGCAGUACAUAUGGUUCCCAAUUUGCUAAGAUGCUCAACUCCAUACCAGAGUGAACUCCAAUGCGAAUCCAUAUUGGGAGGCCAGGAAGAUGCUCCAGCUCAAAGGUCCCCAUGAAGCUGAGGAUUUCCAAGGCCAUCUUGGCAAUGUCUAUUGCAUGCCGAUUGCCAUUUCUCUUAGGCAAACCACUAGCCACCAUGUAGGCAUCACCGAUGGUUUCUACCUGUGGAAACAGUUUCUCAUGAGUGCCUCUGCCCCUUUGAAAAGUAUAGAAAGUAAACAGAAGCAGUUAAUCACAUGUCAAACACAAAAAGUGACUUGGGAACACAGUAUAAGCAUAGCCCUUUACACUUUUUCUGGGGCCAGUUCGAUCAGUUCUAUGCUGAUUUCUUCAGGGUUUUUAUAGUCCAGUUAAUGGGUGAUAAAAUAGCUAUAAAGGAAUUUAGCCAUUUAAAAGUACUUCAUAAUUAUAUAAAUUGUCCAGAUGUGGUGACAGUUCUAGAAAUGUUCAAAUAAAUAAUCUGAAUGGUUUUAUGUAAUUUGAGGAACACCCUUAGUUUCCUGAAAAUUAAUCCUUUAGCAAAUGUCAACAUACUAUUUGACAGAAUAUUGUACUUUGUAAUACGUAAUUGUAUACAUUCUUGUAGUAUGAUUUUCUAUUUAUUAUAACCCCAGUGUCUUCUCUGCUUCAUUUGCAGUCAGCCUAAACACUGCCCAUUUUUUGGAGGUGAUUUAAGAGUAUGCCAUUUUGUCUAAAUUUAAUACUUCAAAUUAAUUCCUGCUGAACUUCCUGUUGUACCUUUUUUGCUGCUUCUUAAAGUUGAAUGGUAAUUUUGACUUCUCACUCCUCUAAUCCUUCUACUUCUCUUCACUUUUAGCUCAGAUUCAACCACCAAUUCACUAAAUGUGAAACUAGAGCGGACAAGAGUAGUAACAGAAACAACCAAUUCAGGCUCUGAUGACCUCGAGUUGUACAAUUAAUGGUUUCAGCCUGUUAGGUGAUGUGGUUACCUUGUAGACAUCAUGAUGAUCAACAAUGUGGUCAAAACUCUUAUAGAUGUCAUUAAGCAUGUCCACCACUUCCAUGGGGGUGCUGUAUUUGCAGAUAGUAGUGAAACCUACAAUGUCACUGAAGUAGAUUGUAACUUCCUCAUAUAGUUCCGGCUCCACAAAGCCUUUCUCCUUCAGAGACUUUACCACUAGCCUAGAUGAACGAAGGGAAAAAAAAUGCCUUCAAGUUCAGAAAAUUUCUUCUUGUUUCACAUAAAUCUUUCAGAUAGUAGUGAUUGUCUACCAAGAAUUCUAGAAUUUGAGACUUCCAGUGAAUUGAGUGAAUCGGAAACAAAGAGAGGUUGUGUAUAUCAUAUACAUGAACGUAUUACACAAAUACACAUAUAAUACAUGUUGUGAACACAGAUGAAUAUAAGCAGGUUCAACAUUAACUUAGUGUUUGAUUAUUAAUCCUAAUACACAUAAAUAGAUAACUUUAAUAUCCUCAAAACUCUCAUACAUAUACAUACUUGUCCACUUUUUGCUUCUCUAUUGAUAAUCAACUUCUUACAGAUGUGGCUCUACAUGCAAAAGCUGAGGAGAGUGUGGUAUUACUUAAAUCACCACAGGUAUCAGAUCUGAAUUUCUCAACAAAGUUGAUAGUUUUACUUUGCCGGCAUAUGUAACAUGGCAUUGCUUAAUAUUACUAUGAAAUAAUGAUGCAUUUAAAUAUAAAUUUUGAUAUAUUCUGAACCAGAGUUCAUUUGAUAUUUUGAACCAGAUUUGGGUCCUUUGUAAAGCAGAAUCAAUCAUGUAAAUAAAUUAAAUCAUGCUAAAACUGUAGAAGUCAAAUUAAAGCAACUUUUAGAAUAUCUUUGCUGAAUGAGGAGCAGCAUAUCAGAUUCAAGAUUGAAGGAAAAGAACCAGAAGAAGGGACUCCAUACUUGGUGUGCCAAGUUACCUCUUCAUUGAGAAAAGGAAGUGAGGGCUGACAUGAAGUGGGAUGGUCCCUGUCUGUCCUUGGCAUCACUUUGUAGUGGCCCUCAGUAUGGAACCACUAGAAUCAGAAACUGGAAGCUGGGAGGUUCCACGGAAGUCAUUGAAAAGAAAUCUUUAUUUUUACAGAUGAGAAAGUUGAGGUCUAAAAAAGUAUGACUUCCAUAAGUUCCCACAGCCGAUUAGGGACAGAGACAGGGAUAGAAUUCAGGAAGCCUUCAGUCUCACCCAUCAGUCUUUUUUUGCAUUACACUCCCUGCACAACCCAGGCCUUGGAUAUUCAGGAAGAUGGGGAAGAUUUGGAGGUAUGCUGACUGCAACAAAGGAGGUGGGCUCUCCCGGAAAGAAAACAACCAAUCAACCACAAAGAUUUCUAACAUUCAUUUGGAGAACCUCCAGAGCAUCUGGAGAAACCUUUUUAAUUGGUGCAAUGACAAAACUUGGAACCUUUGAAAAACAUUCCUUUGGUGUGGCUUGGAUUCCUAGGGACACAACUGGAGUGGUUGUUCUUGACAUGCCCUGUACAAAGUGCAUAGUAUUUUGGAGGCUACGUAGAUGCAAUGACAAAAUUGGAUAUUCUGCCAUAUUUGCAGUUCAUUGUACUGCUUAUAUCUGAAAAGUCACGAGUUUGGUGAUAUGGUUUGGCUCCGUGUCCCCACCCAAAUCUCAUGCUGAAUUGUAAUCCCCAAUGUUAAGGGAGGGACCUGGUGGGAGAUGAUGGGAUCAUGGGUGCAGAUUUCCCCAUUGCUGUUCUUGUGUUAGUGAGUUCUCAUGAGAUCUAGUUGUUUGAACGUGUGUGGCACCUCCCCCUUUGCUCUCUCUCUCUCUUCCUGCCAUGCGAAGAAGGUGCUUGCUUCCCCUUCACUCUUCCACCAUGGUUGUACAUUUCCUGAGGCCUCCCCAGCCAUGCUUCUUGUACACCCUGUGGAACUGUGAGUUAUUUAAACCUCCUUUCCUCAUAAA
This is a long non-coding RNA of Gorilla gorilla gorilla (western lowland gorilla), 5178 nucleotides long. RefSeq lists it as uncharacterized. The transcript is spliced from 7 exons. The record is from RefSeq and is a predicted model, not a curated record. Lineage: Eukaryota; Metazoa; Chordata; Mammalia; Primates; Hominidae.